ACCUCGAAUGUGUCAUCGAAAAUGGAAUGAGACGGAAUUCACGACACAAGCGGUUCACAAAAUGUUUUGUGUUAGGCUAUAAAAACGGAUUUUAUCAAACAAAAGAUCAUUCAUUGUGUAACAAUUAGCAUUGGGAUUGCAAACAGACGAAGAUCGUCAAAGUACACUUCAAGUGACCCUCGUUCAAGAUGGCCGUACUUCUUCAUUACACAAAGGAAUAACCUCAACCAAUUUCUAAAGACUGUUGACAUCCAGUGGAAGCGAUUAGAAAUCUGGAUUCCCAAUGAAAACCCAUUGAAAAGAGUGGGACCUCAACAACAACAAAAUCUGAAUGAUCCUGUCAUAAUCUGCAAUUACCAAGAGAAUUUCACCUACACAAUCUGUGUGUCUUCACAGGACCUGAGCCCUAGGACCAUGCCCCAGGACAACCUGACAUGAUGACUCCUUGCUGUCCCCAGUUCACCUGGCCAUGCUGCUGCUCCAGUUUCAACUGACCUGAGCCCUAGGACCAUGCCCCAGGACUACCUGACAUGAUGACUCCUUGCUGUCCCCAGUCCACCUGGCCAUGCUGCUGCUCCAGUUUCAACUGUUCUGCCUUACUAUUAUUCGACCAUGCUGGUCAUUUAUGAACAUUUGAACAUCUUGGCCAUGUUCUGUUAUAAUCUCCACCCGGCACAGCCAGAAGAGGACGGGCCACCCCACAUAUGCUCUCUCUAAUUCUCUCUUUCUUUCUCUCUCUCAGAGGACCUGAGCCCUAGGACCGUGCCCCAGGACUACCUGACAUGAUGACUCCUUGCUGUCCCCGUUCCACCUGACUGUGCUGCUGCUCCAGUUUCAACUGUUCUGCUGGUCAUUUAUGAACAUUUGAACAUCUUGGCCAUGUUCUGUUAUAAUCUCCACCCGGCACAGCCAGAAGAGGACUGGCCACCCCACAUAGCCUGGUUCCUCUCUAGGUUUCUUCCUAGGUUUUGGCCUUUCUAGGGAGUUUUUCCUAGCCACUGUGCUUCUACACCUGCAUUGCUUGCUGUUUGGGGUUUUAGGCUGGGUUUCUGUACAGCACUUUGAGAUAUCAGCUGAUGUACGAAGGGCUAUAUAAAUAAAUUUGAUUUGAUGUACUGUAAAAUCUUGUAAUGUUCAUUUCACUGACCUUUUUUAGUCACACUAAUGUAGGUAGCUAGAGACAGUGUACUAUUUCUUCUUAAUUCAUGUAGCGGGGUGGUACCAAGGUAUAACCGAUAGAUCUAACAGUUUAUUUUCUAAAGAUUUUUCUGGACUUCAUUAGUGUUGAUCAGUACCUGAGCAGCAGCAGAGGCCAGUUUCUCUCCAUGUGUCACUAUAGUGGAGCGGCAGGUGGCCUAGUGGUUAGAAUGUUGGGCCAGUAACCGAAAGGUUGCUAGAUCGAAUCAUCGAGAUGACAAGAUACAAAUCUGUCAUUCUGCCCCUGAACAAGGCAGUUAACCCACUGUUGCUAGGCUGGCAUUGUAAAUAAGAAUUUGUUCUUAACUGACUUGCCUAGUUUUAAAAAAAGUGACAUGUAUUAUGUCACUAUAGUGACAUAUAAGUCAUUAUUACUGAGUGACAUACUUGGGAAAACACACACAUUGUCUUGGUGAAAUUAUCUUGCAAACUGCAUUUACGGCACAGGAUCUGGAUAUCAUGAAAUAAAAACAUAUUUAACUUUUCAUACAGUCCAUGCUCGCCUUAGCAUAACCCCACAAACGACCGAGCUAACCGAGCUAGCCAGCAUAGUUUUUAUGUAACGAGGCAAGUCAGUUAAGAACAAAUUCUUCUUUACAAUGACUGCCUACUC
Oncorhynchus keta (chum salmon) is the source of this 1810-nucleotide long non-coding RNA. RefSeq lists it as uncharacterized. The record is from RefSeq and is a predicted model, not a curated record. The transcript is spliced from 4 exons. Lineage: Eukaryota; Metazoa; Chordata; Actinopteri; Salmoniformes; Salmonidae.